Molecule: non-coding RNA, 1663 nt
Organism: Solanum lycopersicum (tomato)
Lineage: Eukaryota; Viridiplantae; Streptophyta; Magnoliopsida; Solanales; Solanaceae
Source: RefSeq, a predicted model, not a curated record
UAUUUAUUUUACAUUGACAAUGUAUAUAAUUUAUUAAUCUCUUAUGUUUUACUGUGUUUUCUGUUCUGGCUUUAAAAUUUGGGGGCUAAGAAAAAGGUUGAGAUGCUCAUUGUUCAACUUUGCAGGUGUUGCUGAACUUAUUUUAAUUUCAAGAGCUUAUAUCACAAUAAUAUUAUUACUUUAUAACAUUAAGGUAAUCAACUGUGUCCAACAAAGUAUAGUAAAAUCAACUCAACAUUUCAGACUCAUAUAAAGAUGAGUUGAACUGCUGCAACCUUUGGUUGUAAGUGAAUAAUAUCAUAUAUAAAUAUUUGUAGCUAUGCAAGAAGGAACAAGCUAAUGGACAUGAUUUUUUUUAAUUUUCUAAGCACCACAGUACACUUCCUUGCUUGAACUCUUGAUGUUGUGCUUGGUUUGUCAGAGAAGCAGCUCUUUGUUUUGAUGAGAUUUUUUAGGAAUCUUGCAUUGUUUACUAUACUCACUUAGUUCUCUAUCUGCAAGGUGUAUGUUAGUUCCUAUUUUGGAUUUUAAUUAAUUUGUCUGUUCUUUUGAGUUGUUUCUUGUGGAUUUCUGAUUAUCCUAUAUGCAUGUAAAUGAUUUUGUUGUGAUUUGUGCAUACAUCCUUGAAGAUACAUAGGUGCAAUAGAGUUUAGUUAUAUCAUCAUGUUCUUAGAUGAUAUCAUUGCAGUGGUGUGACACUAAUUCUUGGAUGAUACUGAUUAAAGUGGUGUUGCGGUGGCAAUUGAAAUAAAAUUCAAUUUGUAAUUUGUGACACUCACUUUCUUUUAAGCUUUCACCUUCUAACGUGUGAACUAUAAGAAUAGACACGUGUAGUGCCUUUUUUGACAACUAUUCUUUCAAUGUUGACACAAAAAUUGACUUCAAACUGCUCCUCUUACGAUUUCAUUUCUCUCAGGCUGUUUUAGAGGUUGUGGUGAUCUCACCCCGUGAUGAUGUUGUGGAUGCGGGACAUUAGUUGUAGCAGUGCCUAAAGAUGAUACAAGCAAACCUUGCAAGCUGACUUCCUUCUUGGAUUAUAAGUUUGGAAUAACCCACAUUGUGAGAGAAGUUGAAAAACAUGUAUCAAGUAAAUUCGCCCUUUUAUUUAUAACAUUUCAGUCUGUAUUCACAAUUUUGACAUACAUUUAUUAUUUGGACUCGAGGUUGCUAGAGUUCUCCAACUACCUUUCAUUCCAAGGGGAGAUACUACUAUGUUGAUGCUAAAAAAUCAUUUUGACAUCUUAUUUGUUGAACUGUAAAACUCCACAAGAGAAAAACAUGUGAGAUGGAUGGUCAAAUGGUAGUAGUUGGUGUUGUUGGGUUUGUUAUGACAUUCUCCAAGGAAGAGACCAUUAUGAAGUACUGCUACAAAUAGGAAGCUGAUGAAAACUAAGGAAAUUCAGGCACAGUUGUAGAAACUGAACAAGUAUGUUUGUGUCAUCCAUGUGUUAACUCUCACAUGUAUCAAAUUUGAAUGUCAUCCCUUAUAUUUCGGGGUACCAUGGCUUGAAUAAGUUUAGCUAUAUAUAAAAAAUGUAUUUCAAUAAUCAUGUGUUUCUCCUAAAUCUUAUUUAGACCAACAUUCAUAUUAUCAGAUAAUUAUAUAAUAAAAGGUGAUGUAUGAAUUAGUUUUUAAUUGAUGUUUGCACCUCUUAGAGUUAAA